This is a long non-coding RNA of Mustela lutreola (European mink), 2361 nucleotides long. RefSeq lists it as uncharacterized. The transcript has 4 exons. Lineage: Eukaryota; Metazoa; Chordata; Mammalia; Carnivora; Mustelidae. The record is from RefSeq and is a predicted model, not a curated record.
UCUGUAGGAACAAAGAUAAGCAGGUCAGGAGGGCAAGGGGCUGAGCAGCUGCUGGCUGAGGAAACAGCCCGGCAGCAUGCCUGUCAUUGUUUCCAAGUCUGUGAACCCUCCUCAGGAAUCAGGGUGUAGAGAGGAAUCCCAAGAUAAUGGUGUCACUUACAAUCCAAGGCUGAACCCAGGAACGUUCCCGUGCUCAAAUUGAGACGGGGUGUUCAUUCCCUUCUACAUUUCAGAUGCCCCUCAGGAUGGCCCAGCACCAGGUGGCGUGCACACGGUCGUUCGUCCCCAGAAGAGCUGCUCUGGGAGCCCCGGGUUCUGUGUGAUGUCUGGCCUUCUUCGUGCUCGGUUCUAAACUUUUAUUCUCUCCCACCUCCCUGGUCCACCUGCCCCUCUUUCCUUCUUUCUGCCGUACUCAGUACAGCCUGCGCUUGGAAAAUCUUCAGUGCAACUUGCUCCUGUAAAUUUCAACCACACAGCUAACUGAGGGACCAAGGCUUGGAGGAAGGAUAGCUCCACAGCAUGGCACACGCUGGGAUUCCUAUUGCUUCGAAGUGGGGAGUGACUCCAAAGAGAGCAUGAGACUUUUUUCUUUUUUUGAAAAUUUUAAAAAGAUUUUAUUUAUUUAUUUGACAGAGAGAAACCCAGCGAGAGAGGGAACACAAGCCAAGAGGAGUGGGAAAGGGAAUAGCACGCUUCCCACUGAGCAGGGAGCCAGAUGCGGGGCUCGAUCCCAGGACCCAGGAAUCAUGACCCGAGUGGAAGGCUGACACUUAAUGACUGAGCCACCCAGGAACCCCCCUUCUUCUUCUUUUUUUAAAUUUAAAACAAUCUUAACUAUUAUGAAUUUAGUUCCAGAGACAUCAGCCUCUAGCAAACAAGAUAUUCCUUCGUCCUUUGGAUUCUGUGGCCUGCUAACAGGAUCUCUGUCAAAGAUCUGAAGCUCUAACGUAGCAUCAGGUAUCACAUUGUGAGCUUUACUGCUGGUUACUUUUCAGGUCUUUGUAUCUAUGUUCCUGGCUCCAUUGAAUGCCUUGAAUUUGGCCCCUAUGCUAAUGCUCGCUCAACAAAGAUUUAUUGAGUGGAUUUACUGAAUGAGUACUUGUAUUCAUCGAAGAAGAGUGAGUGAGUGAUUCGCGUAGCUACAAAAACCACAUUUCUGGAACGAUGCAUGCUGAGUGCUAAUGACAGAGAUGUAUGUGGAUGGUGGGGCGGCUUGGGGGAAAAGGGCAUGGAAUCCAGGUGUGGGGAGGAUCAAGAACAGGGGAGCCAUUCCAGGGGAGGUGAUGCUUGAGGUGGGUGGUGAAGGUGAGGAGAAGUUAGAUAAUCUAAGACAGGGUGAAGGGGACACUUCGAGAGAGGGGACAGGAGUACGCAAAGACACGGAGACGUGCAACCGUGCAAGUCAUUUCAGAAACUGUACUUAGCUCAGCAAAGGUGGGAAAGGCGGGGGGGGGGGGGGCAAGAGCCAUAUUAUGCAAGGCUGUGUACACUAACUGAAGAAGUUUAGAUUUUCUCCUGAAAUGUAUGUUCAAAGAGCUGGAUCAAUCAGCCCACCAGAAAAACAACAAUGAAAAACGAGAUUGGGAAGUACUCCCAUAAACAUUCAAGGACCAGCUGGCUCUGACUGGCUGUGGAUCUUCUGCUCAGGAAAAGCUGAUGUAGCAGGGUCACAAAAGCCCAGGGCAAGCACUCUGCUGUACACAAACAGGAUCUGCACCAUCAUUUACUGUUUGGGAGCUACACGCACAGAAUUUAGGAGGCCAGAGGCGGAGGGAAUAAGCCUUUACUGGAUAAAGAUUCCUCACAUACAUAAUUAUCUUGUAAAGUUCUCAACCAAAGAUUCUCAUGUAUCACUUCACCUGAAUGACAAAGCGGAAUGGAAAAUUAAGAUGAAUUCCUGUGACCACUAUAAACACUAAUGUCGAAACAAACAGUGGGCAAGUCUGUGGAGAUAAAAGUUUUGGACACCAUCUGGAAGGCUAACAAAGGGUUUUCCAUGGAAUCUGCGGCAGGAAUACUGAACAGUGAAACCAUGCUAAUUCCUAAAGCAAAUACCUAAAAAUGAACAAAGCUCUAUGAACUCUCUGGAGCCAGGCUCGGUCUCAUUUUCCAGAGUCACAGAACCUGUUAAAGGAAAACAGACCUAAUCACAUAAUGGUUUAAGAAUUACAACCCGGGGGCACCUGGGUGGCUCAGUGGGUUAAAGCCUCUGUCUUCAGCUCAGGUUGUGAUCCCAGGGUCUUAGGAUCGAGUCCCACCCACGUUGGGCUCUCAGCUCAGCGGGGAGCCUGCUUCCCCCUCUCUCUUUGCCUGCCUCUCUGCCUGCUUGUGAUGUCUGUCUGUCAAAUAAAUAAAUAAAAU